Molecule: non-coding RNA, 72 nt
Organism: Parastagonospora nodorum SN15
Lineage: Eukaryota; Fungi; Ascomycota; Dothideomycetes; Pleosporales; Phaeosphaeriaceae
Source: the annotation of a RefSeq genome assembly
GGUCUUGUGGUCUAGUGGUAUGAUUCUCGCUUAGGGUGCGAGAGGCCCCGCGUUCGAGUCGCGGCAAGACCC